This 542-nucleotide long non-coding RNA is filed under the name Salmo salar (Atlantic salmon). RNAcentral describes it as "lncRNA (ENSSSAG00000107088.1)". The record is from RNAcentral. Lineage: Eukaryota; Metazoa; Chordata; Actinopteri; Salmoniformes; Salmonidae.
GUCUAUGUAAUGAGUUAUUACAUGAUGUUAUGGAUGGAAGGUCUGUAUAAUGAGUUAUUACAUGAUGUUAUGGAUGGAAGGUCUGUGUAAUGAGUUAUUACAUGAUGUUAAAGGAUGGAAGGUCUGUGUAAUGAGUUAUUACAUGAUGUUAUGGAUGGAAGGUCUGUGUAAUGAGUUAUUACAUGAUGUUAUGGAUGGAAGGUCUGUGUAAUGUUAUUAUGAAAGAGCACAUGACACAACCCCUGAAAAUAAAAUGUCUAAAAUGUGCUUUAGAAUCCUCAUGGAUUGAUCACCGUAAGAGACAGUUUGCAGCAGCCCCUUUCCCCGUCCUAUCUGCAGCCGCACAGGUUGGGAAUGAGACAGAGAGAGUCACACACAGCCUAGAGAAACCAUUAACCUGGUGAGUCAUCAAACGCUGUGAGCGUCCUCCAGUUCUAUUUCUAGGAGCACCGUUCAUACCCUCCGUCCCUCUCCCUCGCGUCUCUUUCUCCCGCCAGCCUCUUCAAGCUGCUAGAAAUAACAAGGUCAUGUCUCUACUUCCC